Long non-coding RNA from Carya illinoinensis, 1175 nucleotides. RefSeq lists it as uncharacterized. NCBI's taxonomy places the organism in Eukaryota, Viridiplantae, Streptophyta, Magnoliopsida, Fagales, Juglandaceae. The transcript is spliced from 4 exons. The record is from RefSeq and is a predicted model, not a curated record.
ACCAAUUCUGCUCAUAUAUAAGUUUUUUUAUUUUUUAAUCAUUUAUUGUUCUUUAUAUGCUAUCUUUGCCCUGACUCCGGUACCCUGAUAUGAGUGAAGAUCCCCAGAUUAGUCGACAUGAUCCUCGAUUGAAACUGAUGCACAAAAGCCUAAAACGAAUUCAAAGGACCAUUGGAGAGCACAGGAAGAUGGACUGAUGCCAAAAGUUGUCUAAAACGAACCAGCCUUCAGCUGGUCAUGACAUGCCACAUCAGAGGUCUGAACCAACAGGAAGUCGUCGUUCGUUGCAAAUGCAUGCCAUGGAAAGAUCUAGGUUUAAAGCUUCUAGGGGAUUCUCACCAAUGAAAAAUUUUGGUGAGUUGCGGCAAGUACCAUCAUUAAGGGUAGCUGAUGCCUCAAAAGCUGGAUGGUUUUUGAGCAAUAAUGCUACUUCUAGGCCUAUAAGCUCUACACCCUUGACAAUAUAAGGUCCUCAAAAUUCCAAGCCGGUUACACUGCUUGCACCCUCAACGAGCUUUGGGCAGAAAAGUUCUCACAUCGUAUGAUUUUGUAAGCUGCACCACUUCAAGCUUAUUUUCAGAGGAGCUGGUUUAUAGUUGUGAUUUCGUCCACUUAGAUGGUAGAGGAACCUCUCACUGUUGCUGGCCUGUUGCAAUCACUUGGUUUAGGGAAAUACAACGUUCAUUUCAGAGCUGAGGAGGUGGACAUGACUGCAUUGAGGCAGAUGGGUGAUACGGAGCUCAAAGAGAUGAGGAUCCCAAUGGGACCAAGGAAUAAGAAUCUUCUUGCUCUCUUGCCCUAAUCCAGACAUGAGACAACCACCACAACUGCAAUGUUAAGGCCUCAUUUAUUUAUACAGAUGAGAUGAGAUAAAAGUUAAAAGUUAAAUAAAAUAUUAUUAUAAUAUUAUUUUUAUUUUGAAAUUUGAAAAAGUUAAAUUAUUUAUUAUAUUUUGUGUGAGAAUUUAAAAAAGUUAUGAUCAUAUGAAAUGAGAUUAGAUAAUUUGAAUCCUAUAACCAAAAUAGGCCAAUGGCUGCAUUUGGAGGUACUUGUCUUUUCUGUAUUAUUAAAAAAUGUGAGUGAAUAUUAGCAAGCUUACCGAGUGUAUGUGAUGUUAUAAUUUAUUGACAUUGCAUGGAAGCAUGAAAAUAUUUAUUAUAAGGGUUUGUUUUGCA